AUCCAGAUGACGAGUCCCAAAUAGGACGAAAUGCACAUCGGGCUGAU
This 47-nucleotide non-coding RNA is filed under the name Trichobilharzia regenti. Lineage: Eukaryota; Metazoa; Platyhelminthes; Trematoda; Strigeidida; Schistosomatidae. The record is from RNAcentral.